This 253-nucleotide ribosomal RNA is filed under the name uncultured bacterium. RNAcentral's name for it is "partial 16S ribosomal RNA". It matches the Rfam family "Bacterial small subunit ribosomal RNA", at positions 524 to 776 of the family's 1533-position model. The record is from RNAcentral.
UACAGAGGGGGCAAGCGUUGUUCGGAAUUACUGGGCGUAAAGGGCGCGUAGGCGGCCCGCUAAGUCGAACGUGAAAUCCCCGAGCUCAACUCGGGAACUGCGUCCGAUACUGGUGGGCUUGAAUCCGGGAGAGGGAUGCGGAAUUCCAGGUGUAGCGGUGAAAUGCGUAGAUAUCUGGAGGAACACCGGCGGCGAAGGCGGCAUCCUGGACCGGCAUUGACGCUGAGGCGCGAAAGCUAGGGGAGCAAACGGG